AACGCUAGCUACAGGCUUAACACAUGCAAGUCGAGGGGCAGCAUGAAGUUUGCUUGCAAACUUUGAUGGCGACCGGCGCACGGGUGAGUAACACGUAUCCAACCUGCCGAUUACUCGGGGAUAACCUCUCGAAAGAGAGCCUAAUACCCGAUGGCAUACCUGUUCCGCAUGGGACCGGUAUUAAAGGAUUUCGGUAAUCGAUGGGGAUGCGUUCCAUUAGGUUGUUGGCGGGGUAACGGCCCACCAAGCCAUCGAUGGAUAGGGGUUCUGAGAGGAAGGUCCCCCACAUUGGAACUGAGACACGGUCCAAACUCCUACGGGAGGCAGCAGUGAGGAAUAUUGGUCAAUGGACGAGAGUCUGAACCAGCCAAGUAGCGUGAAGGAUGACUGCCCUAUGGGUUGUAAACUUCUUUUAUACGGGAAUAAAGUUAGGCACGUGUGCCUUUUUGUAUGUACCGUAUGAAUAAGGAUCGGCUAACUCCGUGCCAGCAGCCGCGGUAAUACGGAGGAUCCGAGCGUUAUCCGGAUUUAUUGGGUUUAAAGGGAGCGUAGGCGGAUGCUUAAGUCAGUUGUGAAAGUUUGCGGCUCAACCGUAAAAUUGCAGUUGAUACUGGGUGUCUUGAGUACAGUAGAGGCAGGCGGAAUUCGUGGUGUAGCGGUGAAAUGCUUAGAUAUCACGAAGAACUCCGAUUG
This 693-nucleotide ribosomal RNA is filed under the name uncultured bacterium. RNAcentral's name for it is "bacterial SSU rRNA". It matches the Rfam family "Bacterial small subunit ribosomal RNA", at positions 32 to 715 of the family's 1533-position model. The record is from RNAcentral.